GGUCACAUGGUGUAAAGGUUAGCACUCUGGACUCUGAAUCCAGCGAUCCGAGCUCAAAUCUCGGUUCGACAU
RNAcentral lists this transfer RNA (72 nucleotides) under Dryococelus australis. RNAcentral's name for it is "tRNA-OTHER". It matches the Rfam family "tRNA". From Rfam's summary of the family: Transfer RNA (tRNA) molecules are approximately 80 nucleotides in length. Their secondary structure includes four short double-helical elements and three loops (D, anti-codon, and T loops). The record is from RNAcentral. Lineage: Eukaryota; Metazoa; Arthropoda; Insecta; Phasmatodea; Phasmatidae.